AACCGCGUUUCCCUGGGGACUUGGGCGCUACAGGCUCAACUGGGAAGCCGGGUGGCUGGAGAAAAAGCCGCCAAAAACCCCCCGGAAAGAAAAGAAAAAGCGGGGCCCUCGGGGCUUACUUGGCGUGGCAGGUACAGCAUCAUUGGAAUGUGCACAGCGGCCCAGCCUGGCAUCCCUCUCAGAGCACCUGUGGGUACAGGAAACUGAACAUGAAGAACAUCCCUCCCUGCUCUAGGGAAGGGCAGGAGGCUAUGAAAAGCAGUUUGGGGAGCAAGCUGGAAAUCUGCAGAGGGAAUACUAAAGACAUCAAUACUGUGCUCCCUUUCUUCUUUCUCUUUCCCUCAUACCAAGGAUUGAACCCAGGGUGCACUGAGCUACAUCCCCAGACCUUUUCUUUCUUUUUUUUGGGUACUGGGGAUCAAACUCCGGUCCUUCUGCUUGCGAGGGAGGCAGCGGAACCACUGAGCUAAA
Non-coding RNA from Heterocephalus glaber (naked mole-rat), 471 nucleotides. The record is from RefSeq and is a predicted model, not a curated record. Lineage: Eukaryota; Metazoa; Chordata; Mammalia; Rodentia; Bathyergidae.